RNAcentral lists this ribosomal RNA (741 nucleotides) under Amphiops sp. SLE0408. RNAcentral describes it as "partial 16S ribosomal RNA". The stretch from base 1 to 571 matches the Rfam family "Archaeal large subunit ribosomal RNA", at positions 1949 to 2987 of the family's 2987-position model. The record is from RNAcentral. Lineage: Eukaryota; Metazoa; Arthropoda; Insecta; Coleoptera; Hydrophilidae.
ACCUGCUCAAUGAUUAUUUAAAUAGCCGCAGUAUUUUGACUGUGCAAAGGUAGCAUAAUAAUUAGUUUCUUUAUUAGGAACUGGAAUGAAGGGUGGCAUGAGAAAAUAACUGUCUUUGUUUAAUUUGUUAAUAGAAUUUUAUUUUUGAGUUAAAAAGCUCAAAUGAUUUUUAAAGACGAGAAGACCCUAUAGAGUUUUACAUUAAUAAUUGUUAAUAUUUAAUAAGGAAUUUUAAUUUAUUGUAAUUAUUGUUAUUGUUUUGUUGGGGUGAUAGAAAAAUUUAAUAAACUUUUUUUUUAUUUUACAAAUUUAUUUGUUUAUUUGAUCCAUUAUUAGUGAUUAAAAGAUUAAAUUACCUUAGGGAUAACAGCGUAAUUUUCUUGGAGAGUUCUAAUCGAUAAGAAAGUUUGCGACCUCGAUGUUGGAUUAAAAUUUAAUACUGGUGUAGCAGCUAGUUAUUUGAGUCUGUUCGACUUUUAAAAUUUUACAUGAUCUGAGUUUAAAUCGGCGUGAGCCAGGUUGGUUUCUAUCUUGAAUUAAUUUUUAUAUUUUAGUACGAAAGGACCAAUUAUAAAUAAUAUUUAUUUUUUUAUGAAUAAUAUUAAUGUUACUUUGGCAGAUUAGUGCAUUAAAUUUAGAAUUUAAUUAUGUAUAUUAUUACAGGUAAUACUUGAUUUUAAAGGAUUAUAUUUUACUUUUAUUAAGAGGAUUAAUUUUAAUUAUUUGUGUUUUAGUAGGUGU